UGGGGAAUAUUGCACAAUGGGGGGAAACCCUGAUGCAGCAACGCCGCGUGAAGGAAGACGGUUUUCGGAUUGUAAACUUCUUUUCUUAGUGAAGAAACAAAUGACGGUAGCUAAGGAAUAAGCAUCGGCUAACUACGUGCCAGCAGCCGCGGUAAUACGUAGGAUGCGAGCGUUAUCCGGAUUUACUGGGUGUAAAGGGAGCGCAGGCGGGACUGCAAGUUGGAUGUGAAAUACCGCAGCUUAACUGCGGAGCUGCAUCCAAAACUGUAGUUCUUGAGUGGAGUAGAGGCAAGCGGAAUUCCGAGUGUAGCGGUGAAAUGCGUAGAUAUUCGGAGGAACACCAGUGGCGAAGGCGGCUUGCUGGGCUCUAACUGACGCUGAGGCUCGAAAGUGUGGGGAGCAAACAGGAUUAGAUACCC
RNAcentral lists this ribosomal RNA (419 nucleotides) under uncultured bacterium. RNAcentral's name for it is "bacterial SSU rRNA". It matches the Rfam family "Bacterial small subunit ribosomal RNA", at positions 355 to 787 of the family's 1533-position model. The record is from RNAcentral.